Molecule: non-coding RNA, 26 nt
Filed under: Mus musculus (house mouse)
Lineage: Eukaryota; Metazoa; Chordata; Mammalia; Rodentia; Muridae
Source: RNAcentral
UCAUACAGGGGAUCACACAUUUUAAA